UACGUAGGUGGCAAGCGUUGUCCGGAUUCACUGGGCGUAAAGCGCGCGCAGGCGGUCUUCUACGUCUGGGGUGAAAACCCGGGGGCUCAACCCCCGGGACUGCCUUGGAUACGGGAAGACUUGAGGAUCGGAGAGGCAAGGGGAAUUCCACGUGUAGCGGUGAAAUGCGUAGAGAUGUGGAGGAACACCUGUGGCGAAGGCGCCUUGCUGGCCGAUUUCUGACGCUGAGGCGCGAAAGCGUGGGGGAGCAAACAGG
Molecule: ribosomal RNA, 256 nt
Filed under: uncultured bacterium
Lineage: Bacteria
Description: partial 16S ribosomal RNA
Rfam family: Bacterial small subunit ribosomal RNA
Source: RNAcentral